UCGGAUUGCAGGCUGCAACCCGCCUGCAUGAAGUUGGAAUCGCUAGUAAUCGCGGAUCAGCAUGCCGCGGUGAAUACGUUCCCGGGCCUUGUACACACCGCCCGUCACACCAUGAGAGUCGGGACACCCGAAGUCCGUAGUCUAACCGCAAGGGGACGCGGCCGAAGGUGGAUUCGAUAAUUGGGGUGAAGUCGUAACAAGGUACC
RNAcentral lists this ribosomal RNA (206 nucleotides) under uncultured bacterium. RNAcentral describes it as "partial 16S ribosomal RNA". It matches the Rfam family "Bacterial small subunit ribosomal RNA", at positions 1293 to 1500 of the family's 1533-position model. The record is from RNAcentral.